GAUGAACGCUGGCGGCGUGCCUAAUACAUGCAAGUCGAGCGAACGGACGAGAAGCUUGCUUCUCUGAUGUUAGCGGCGGACGGGUGAGUAACACGUGGAUAACCUACCUAUAAGACUGGGAUAACUUCGGGAAACCGGAGCUAAUACCGGAUGAUAUUUUGAACCGCAUGGUUCAAAAGUGAAAGACGGUCUUGCCGUCACUUAUAGAUGGAUCCGCGCUGCAUUAGCUAGUUGGUAAGGUAACGGCUUACCAAGGCAACGAUGCAUAGCCGACCUGAGAGGGUGAUCGGCCACACUGGAACUGAGACACGGUCCAGACUCCUACGGGAGGCAGCAGUAGGGAAUCUUCCGCAAUGGGCGAAAGCCUGACGGAGGAACGCCGCGUGAGUGAUGAAGGUCUUCGGAUCGUAAAACUCUGUUAUUAGGGAAGAACAUAUGUGUAAGUAACUGUGCACAUCUUGACGGUACCUAAUCAGAAAGCCACGGCUAACUACGUG
RNAcentral lists this ribosomal RNA (497 nucleotides) under uncultured bacterium. RNAcentral describes it as "partial 16S ribosomal RNA". It matches the Rfam family "Bacterial small subunit ribosomal RNA", at positions 28 to 507 of the family's 1533-position model. The record is from RNAcentral.